This 578-nucleotide ribosomal RNA is filed under the name uncultured bacterium. RNAcentral describes it as "bacterial SSU rRNA". It matches the Rfam family "Bacterial small subunit ribosomal RNA", at positions 102 to 676 of the family's 1533-position model. The record is from RNAcentral.
ACGGGUGAGGAAUACAUCGGAAUCUACUCUGUCGUGGGGGAUAACGUAGGGAAACUUACGCUAAUACCGCAUACGACCUACGGGUGAAAGCAGGGGAUCUUCGGACCUUGCGCGAUUGAAUGAGCCGAUGUCGGAUUAGCUAGUUGGCGGGGUAAAGGCCCACCAAGGCGACGAUCCGUAGCUGGUCUGAGAGGAUGAUCAGCCACACUGGAACUGAGACACGGUCCAGACUCCUACGGGAGGCAGCAGUGGGGAAUAUUGGACAAUGGGCGCAAGCCUGAUCCAGCCAUACCGCGUGGGUGAAGAAGGCCUUCGGGUUGUAAAGCCCUUUUGUUGGGAAAGAAAUCCAGCUGGCUAAUACCCGGUUGGGAUGACGGUACCCAAAGAAUAAGCACCGGCUAACUUCGUGCCAGCAGCCGCGGUAAUACGAAGGGUGCAAGCGUUACUCGGAAUUACUGGGCAUAAAGCGUGCGUAGGUGGUCGUUUAAGUCCGUUGUGAAAGCCCUGGGCUCAACCUGGGAACUGCAGUGGAUACUGGGCGACUAGAGUGUGGUAGAGGGUAGCGGAAUUCCUGGUGU